RNAcentral lists this ribosomal RNA (497 nucleotides) under uncultured Stenotrophomonas sp. RNAcentral describes it as "bacterial SSU rRNA". It matches the Rfam family "Bacterial small subunit ribosomal RNA", at positions 904 to 1382 of the family's 1533-position model. The record is from RNAcentral. Lineage: Bacteria; Pseudomonadati; Pseudomonadota; Gammaproteobacteria; Lysobacterales; Lysobacteraceae.
CCUUGCCAGCCCGCUCAGAAACUUAAAGAAGUGACGGGGCCCGCACAAGCGGUGGAGCAGUGUGGUUUAAAUUCGAAGCAACGCGAAGAACCUUACCAGGCCUUGACAUGCAGAGAACUUUCCAGAGAUGGAUUGGUGCCUUCGGGAACUCUGACACAGGUGCUGCAUGGCUGUCGUCAGCUCGUGUCGUGAGAUGUUGGGUUAAGUCCCGCAACGAGCGCAACCCUUGCCAUUAGUUGCUACGAAAGGGCACUCUAAUGGGACUGCCGGUGACAAACCGGAGGAAGGUGGGGAUGACGUCAAGUCCUCAUGGCCCUUAUAGGUGGGGCUACACACGUCAUACAAUGGCUGGUACAGAGGGUUGCCAACCCGCGAGGGGGAGCCAAUCCCAUAAAGCCAGUCGUAGUCCGGAUCGCAGUCUGCAACUCGACUGCGUGAAGUCGGAAUCGCUAGUAAUCGCGGAUCAGAAUGUCGCGGUGAAUACGUUCCCGGGUCUU